GGGAAUGUAGCUUAGUGGUAAGGCACUUGCCUAGCAUGCAUGAAGCCCUGGGUUUGAUUCCUCAGUACCG
RNAcentral lists this transfer RNA (70 nucleotides) under Dipodomys ordii (Ord's kangaroo rat). It matches the Rfam family "tRNA". From Rfam's summary of the family: Transfer RNA (tRNA) molecules are approximately 80 nucleotides in length. The record is from Rfam by way of RNAcentral. Lineage: Eukaryota; Metazoa; Chordata; Mammalia; Rodentia; Heteromyidae.